This 253-nucleotide ribosomal RNA is filed under the name uncultured bacterium. RNAcentral describes it as "partial 16S ribosomal RNA". It matches the Rfam family "Bacterial small subunit ribosomal RNA", at positions 524 to 776 of the family's 1533-position model. The record is from RNAcentral.
UACGUAGGGCGCAAGCGUUGUCCGGAAUUAUUGGGCGUAAAGAGCUCGUAGGCGGUUUGUCGCGUCUGUCGUGAAAGCUUGGGGCUUAACCCCAAGUCUGCGGUGGAUACGGGCAGACUAGAGGCAGGUAGGGGAGAACGGAAUUCCUGGUGUAGCGGUGAAAUGCGCAGAUAUCAGGAGGAACACCGGUGGCGAAGGCGGGUCUCUGGGCCGAUACUGACGCUGAGGAGCGAAAGCGUGGGGAGCGAACAGG